GGCUGGUCUGAAGGUAGUGAGGCAUCUCAACUGACUGUUCACAGUCGGUUACAGACCGACCUCCUUGUUCUCUUCUUUCCUCCCUUCUCACUACUGCACUUGACAAGUCUUAA
Molecule: unclassified non-coding RNA, 113 nt
Organism: Aotus nancymaae (Ma's night monkey)
Lineage: Eukaryota; Metazoa; Chordata; Mammalia; Primates; Aotidae
Rfam family: Y RNA
About the family: Y RNAs are components of the Ro ribonucleoprotein particle (Ro RNP), in association with Ro60 and La proteins.
Source: Ensembl